GGAAUUCGAUUCAGGCCUAACACAUGCAAGUCGAGCGGGGUUUUCGGACAUAGAGGAGGACGGGUGAGUAAUGUGUAGGAAGAUACCCGACAGAGGGGGAUGCCAGUUGGAAGCGGCUGUUAAUGCCGCAUAAUGUGUACGGGUCAAAGUGUGGGACCUUUGGGCCACAUGCUGUCGGAUGCGCCUACGUGGGAUUAGCUAGUUGGUGAGGUAAUGGCUCACCAAGGCGAUGAUCCCUAGCUGGUUUGAGAGGAUGAUCAGCCACACUGGAACUGAGACACGGUCCAGAAUCCUACGGGAGGCAGCAGUGGGGAAUAUUGGACAAUGGGCGCAAGCCUGAUCCACCAAGGGCGCGUGUGUGUAGAAGUCCUUCGGGUCUUCUUUAAUGGAGCGAGGAGGAAGGGUUGUGUGUUAAUAGUACACAGCCUGACG
RNAcentral lists this ribosomal RNA (432 nucleotides) under uncultured bacterium. Its description in RNAcentral is "bacterial SSU rRNA". It matches the Rfam family "Bacterial small subunit ribosomal RNA", at positions 39 to 474 of the family's 1533-position model. The record is from RNAcentral.